This 495-nucleotide ribosomal RNA is filed under the name uncultured bacterium. RNAcentral describes it as "partial 16S ribosomal RNA". It matches the Rfam family "Bacterial small subunit ribosomal RNA", at positions 29 to 506 of the family's 1533-position model. The record is from RNAcentral.
ACGAACGCUGGCGGCGUGCCUAAUACAUGCAAGUUGAGCGCUGAAGGUUGGUACUUGUACCGACUGGAUGAGCAGCGAACGGGUGAGUAACGCGUGGGGAAUCUGCCUUUGAGCGGGGGACAACAUUUGGAAACGAAUGCUAAUACCGCAUAAAAACUUUAUACACAAGUUUUAAGUUUGAAAGAUGCAAUUGCAUCACUCAAAGAUGAUCCCGCGUUGUAUUAGCUAGUUGGGGAGGUAAAGGCCCACCAAGGCGAUGAUACAUAGCCGACCUGAGAGGGUGAUCGGCCACAUUGGGACUGAGACACGGCCCAAACUCCUACGGGAGGCAGCAGUAGGGAAUCUUCGGCAAUGGACGAAAGUCUGACCGAGCAACGCCGCGUGAGUGAAGAAGGUUUUCGGAUCGUAAAACUCUGUUGGUAGGGAAGAACGUUGGUGGGAGUGGAAAGCUCAUCAAGUGACGGUAACUACCCAGAAAGGGACGGCUAACUACGU